Molecule: non-coding RNA, 31 nt
Filed under: Mus musculus (house mouse)
Lineage: Eukaryota; Metazoa; Chordata; Mammalia; Rodentia; Muridae
Source: RNAcentral
UGGAAAAUGCCCUGUGAUGAUAGGCCCAGUG